Molecule: ribosomal RNA, 465 nt
Filed under: Vreelandella stevensii
Lineage: Bacteria; Pseudomonadati; Pseudomonadota; Gammaproteobacteria; Oceanospirillales; Halomonadaceae
Description: partial 16S ribosomal RNA
Rfam family: Bacterial small subunit ribosomal RNA
Source: RNAcentral
CCUACGGGUGGCAGCAGUGGGGAAUAUUGGACAAUGGGCGAAAGCCUGAUCCAGCCAUGCCGCGUGUGUGAAGAAGGCCUUCGGGUUGUAAAGCACUUUCAGUGGGGAAGAAAGCCUUGGGGCUAAUACCCUCGAGGAAGGACAUCACCCACAGAAGAAGCACCGGCUAACUCCGUGCCAGCAGCCGCGGUAAUACGGAGGGUGCGAGCGUUAAUCGGAAUUACUGGGCGUAAAGCGCGCGUAGGCGGUCUGAUAAGCAGGUUGUGAAAGCCCCGGGCUCAACCUGGGAACGGCAUCCGGAACUGUCAGGCUAGAGUGCAGGAGAGGAAGGUAGAAUUCCCGGUGUAGCGGUGAAAUGCGUAGAGAUCGGGAGGAAUACCAGUGGCGAAGGCGGCCUUCUGGACUGACACUGACGCUGAGGUGCGAAAGCGUGGGUAGCAAACAGGAUUAGAUACCCGAGUAGUC